Long non-coding RNA from Ictalurus furcatus (blue catfish), 3531 nucleotides. RefSeq lists it as uncharacterized. NCBI's taxonomy places the organism in Eukaryota, Metazoa, Chordata, Actinopteri, Siluriformes, Ictaluridae. The transcript is spliced from 4 exons. The record is from RefSeq and is a predicted model, not a curated record.
ACCUCGGCUGUACAUCUGAACAUGUUAAAUUAUACGUAACCAUAUACUGUACAUAAAGUAAUAAUUAUGACUACAUAUAAGUAUGUGUAAAAAAAAAUGAAGUAAAUUAAUGAACGAUCAAUAAAGGCUACACUUCUAUCUGAACUUCGCAAUUUCCAAGGCGUAUGUAAACUUAUGACCUCAACUGUAAACUCUCACACACUUUUAAUAAUGUUCAUAACCAUGACAGUGAUGUAGGUCAAACACCCGUUUAGUUGCUACGUUGCUGGUUUAUAUUGCUCAUAAGUGAGACGAACUUGUCCGAAGAUGGAACAAACUCUCAUAGAAACUAGGCGAGACUUUUUGGGAUCAGUAACGUAGGGCUUUAGGCUUCACGACGGUGUGAAGCUUAAUUUAAAAAACUGCUAUGUUGGGUAUUGAAUAAGAACAGCUUGUGUUUCUGUCAUCACGGCUUUUAACACUUCUGAGACAGCAACACACACAUUUCUGAAACAGCAACACACAGGUUUCUGGGGUUUUCUCGUCACACUCAUGCAAAGCACUUUUACCAAGCAGUGGUUUUCUUACCGAGUUAGUGUUUUGUACUGUUUUUUUCUUUUUUUUUUUUAUAAAGUAUCCAGUAUACCAUUUCUUAUCUUAUUCUCAAUUAUUAACAAUAUAAACGUUAAUUACGGAAAUAGAUCCUCAAAAGUCCUCUUGCUCAGGGAUCCUUCGGAUGGGUGUUGGUGUCAGUGAUGUACAUAAUAAAGGUCACUCAUUUAAAUAAUAAAAACGUUUUAAAAAAAUAAAUAAAUAAAUAAAAAGAACUGUCUUAUUUAGUAUUUUAAGUACUUUAAGAAAAACAAUAAGUUGUGAAUUUUCUGUUGGUAAUAUAAUCAGUAUAUUCUCUAAGGAAUGCUUGUGCUCCAAUAGACUAAUUUUGAAACCGUGGAACCGUGUGUGUGUGUGGGUGUGUGUGGGUGUGUGUGUGAAACCUCAGUGCACGUAACGGAGAGUAGCAGUGUGGUGCGGGUGUGUACAAGUUUGCAAUACUGAUCUGCAGGUCAGCAGCUUCUCACUGAUGGAGUUUACACACAUUCACCACACACUCCGUGCCAAACAUGAUGACAGAGAGAGAGAAAAAAGCCUGUUAUCCGCAAAUAAAUAGAAAUAUAAUAUUAUAUAAUAUAACAGAACUUUAUUAGAAAGAUUAUUAUUUAAUUUUUUUUUUUUUAAGGGUAAGAAAAUUACAGCGUUGGAGAGAUAAGGACCAUCUGGUAAACGGGAAAUAUCUCCAUGGGUGCAAAAAUAUAUUAUUAUUUCUCAGAAAUUAAUAUUUAUUCCAUCAUUAUUUAUUUAUUAAGUGACUUUAGGAUUCUAGUUCACGUCCUUUUGGUUACAGGGCCUUAGUCACUGACAUUGUGAUCAGUUUACUCAAAGCGCAACUUGCUGUUGUAACUCCAGAUUGAGAAGGAAGAUUUUCCUUUUACUUUUUUUGUUUUCUUUUUCCCCAAAAACAAUGAGAGAUGCAAACUUUUGCAGUCGACUCAAAAAGAUAUUAAAAGUAUGAUACAUGUCCAGUAACCUAUUCAGCCUAAUGAACACAUUGUUCUUCAUUAUCAACUGUUCACUGAUAAAUUAUUAUUUUAUAUUUCCUGGCAUCCCCAUCCAGGGUAUAUUCCCAUUUCACGUCAAUCGUUCCCACAAUCCACCUGAACUCCGGAGAGACUCUGGAUCCACCAAGACCAUGACCAUGAGAAAGAACGUACUGAAGAUAAGUCUGUAACACAAGCUUUGGCAGCAAUAUGUAUUAAGAAGUUAAGAAGUUUAAUACUGAGUGAAACCAGGAGGCAGUUGCACGGCAGCACAGCGGGAAGCGUUGCCACUUCACAGCUCCAGGAUUCCCGGUUUGAUCCUGAAUUCAGGUUACUGUCUGUACAGAGUGUCACAUGUUCUCCUCGAGUACGUGCGGGUUUCCUCCGGGUUCUUCAGUUUCCUCAAAGCUCCAAAAAACAUGCAGUUAGGUGGAUUGGUGGAUCCAGAUUGCCCCUAAGUGUGUGUGUGUGUGUGUGUGUGUGUGUGUGUGUGGGUAUGGGUGUGUAUGCAUUUCCCUGUGAUGGACUGGCAUCCUGGGUGUGUUCCUGACUCACACACAGUGUUCCCGGGAGAAACUCUGGAUCCCUGACCAUGAUAACGUGCUUACUGAAGAUGAAUGAAUAUACAAUGAGGUGUUCGGUCAUCAAUACAGCCUAUGGACUGGGGGGGGGGCAUUGACUCCUCCAUGUUUGUCUUUUCUCAGCAACAAUCCAGCCAUCUAAAUGUAAUGAGUGAUGUAUAUUUAUGUCCUUCUACUGUAUUUACUGCUGAUGCUGCGAGCGGCCAUGUCGAUUCGAUGUCACUUGUUGGACACAAGGUUGAGGAGACCUUUCCGUGUUCCUGAGUGGGAAUUUCCGAGUUGAGGGAGUGUUUUCUUGUUUUUUUUUUCCUAGUCAGAGUUCGGAGUUAUUACUUUUAGUCGAAUGCAGCAUUAUUCUACACCCACUACAAGCUCAUACCCUAUUGGUCUAUUUUAGAUUCUUAUCGUUUUGUUUGUUUGUUUGUUUGUUUUUUUCCAAUGUUGACAUAUACACAGUGUACAGUCUAUAAUGAAUAAGUCAAUAUUUAAUUAUAUUUAUAAGCUGUGUAAUAUUUUAAAAGAUCAGUUAAACCAAAAGAAACUAUAAGACAGAAUGAAUGGAGAGAACGAGGAGGACGUGUGGGGGAAGAGGGUUGGGGGGUUGGUUAUAGACAACAGCCGCUGGCUAGACAGUAACGGUAGAUGUUGGAUGGGGAUAUGUAACUAGUUUGAACUCUUCUUUCCCCAUCAACAUGAUAUUUCUUACAUCGCAUAUCAUUCUGCUAGUAACAUUCUCAGUCCUUGUUAGAUGUGAUGGUGAACCAAGAUCGCUUGAUUCCGGACAAGACCGAUGUUAAACUUCUUGACAAGCAUGUAGUCCAAACACAGGAUGUGCACAUUAUGUGUGGGAUGUGUAAGAAGGCUGUUAAAAAUCUGAUGAUUCUGGUGAUGAAACAGAUUGAUAAGGAGAUAAAGCUAAUAUGCGGCAAAUCGAAGCACUCCCAUAAUACCUGCAAGCAGCACUUGUACAAGUACAAGGCUGUGGUCAUUCACCGAAUUUUCAACGGGAAGAACGCGAGAGAAAGUUGCAAGCAUAUGCGCUUAUGUUAAAAGCUGUAAAUUGUGAUUUUAUCACUUAAACUCGAUGGUCAAAGUUGCGUCCUGGAGAUACUUUAAUGCUUUGAUUGAUUCAUAAAUCUGCUUUUGAUCAUACAUGUUUCAUUUAUUUCUGUAAUCAUCUGUUAUUAUCUGUAAAGAAAAUUACAAAAAGUAUAAAAAAAAAAAAAUUGUAAUCAGAAAUCACUGGGCUGAUUAUUUUUUGUAUUACCUGUACUAUAUUAGUUAACACAUAUAACUGUACUUAUAUAACAAUAAAUAUAGCAUGCAUGCCAAUGUUGUGUGACUAAAGAGAAAUAAAUAAAUGAAUGUUUGCCGGA